RNAcentral lists this ribosomal RNA (264 nucleotides) under Escherichia coli. RNAcentral's name for it is "partial 23S ribosomal RNA". It matches the Rfam family "Bacterial large subunit ribosomal RNA", at positions 1 to 256 of the family's 2925-position model. The record is from RNAcentral. Lineage: Bacteria; Pseudomonadati; Pseudomonadota; Gammaproteobacteria; Enterobacterales; Enterobacteriaceae.
GGGUUGUGAGGUUAAGCGACUAAGCGUACACGGUGGAUGCCCUGGCAGUCAGAGGCGAUGAAGGACGUGCUAAUCUGCGAUAAGCGUCGGUAAGGUGAUAUGAACCGUUAUAACCGGCGAUUUCCGAAUAGGGAAACCCAGUGUGUUUCGACACACUAUCAUUAACUGAAUCCAUAGGUUAAUGAGGCGAACCGGGGGAACUGAAACAUCUAAGUACCCCGAGGAAAAGAAAUCAACCGAGAUUCCCCCAGUAGCGGCGAGCGA